GACGAACGCUGGCGGCGUGCUUAACACAUGCAAGUCGAACGGAAAGGCCCUGCUUUUGUGGGGUGCUCGAGUGGCGAAGGGGGGAGUAACACGUGAGUAACCUGCCCUUGACUUUGGGAUAACUUCAGGAAACUGGGGCUAAUACCGGAUAGGAGCUCCUGCUGCAUGGUGGGGGUUGGAAAGUUUCGGCGGUUGGGGAUGGAUGCGCGGCUUAUGAGCUUGUUGGUGGGGUGGUGGCUUACCAAGGCUUUGACGGGUAGCCGGCUUGAGAGGGAGACCGGCCACCUAGGGAGGGAGAGACAGACCACCCACACUCGGGCGGGAGGAGGGAGUGAUAAUGAAUAGAGGGCGGACGAAUGACGGAGCCAGCCCGGGUGCGGGAGGGAGGCAGUCGGGAUGGAAGCAGCUCUCUCUUGUGCCGAAGGGUGAUUGCCGUAACUGGGGAAAAAACCACGGCUUACCCAGUG
RNAcentral lists this ribosomal RNA (467 nucleotides) under uncultured bacterium. RNAcentral describes it as "partial 16S ribosomal RNA". It matches the Rfam family "Bacterial small subunit ribosomal RNA", at positions 28 to 507 of the family's 1533-position model. The record is from RNAcentral.